UACGGAGGGAGCUAGCGUUGUUCGGAAUUACUGGGCGUAAAGGGCGCGUAGGCGGCGCGGUAAGUCACUUGUGAAAUCUCUGAGCUUAACUCAGAACGGCCAAGUGAUACUGCAGUGCUAGAGUGUGGAAGGGGCAAUCGGAAUUCUUGGUGUAGCGGUGAAAUGCGUAGAUAUCAAGAGGAACACCUGAGGUGAAGACGGGUUGCUGGGCCAACACUGACGCUGAGGCGCGAAAGCCAGGGGAGCAAACGGG
Molecule: ribosomal RNA, 253 nt
Filed under: uncultured bacterium
Lineage: Bacteria
Description: partial 16S ribosomal RNA
Rfam family: Bacterial small subunit ribosomal RNA
Source: RNAcentral